This is a non-coding RNA of Albula glossodonta (roundjaw bonefish), 77 nucleotides long. The record is from the annotation of a GenBank genome assembly. Lineage: Eukaryota; Metazoa; Chordata; Actinopteri; Albuliformes; Albulidae.
GGCAGCCCUGUAGUAUAAUGGAUAUGGCUCUGAUGCUUCCAUCUCAGAGGUGGUGAGUUCGAUUCCCACUGCUGUCA